Negativicoccus succinicivorans DORA_17_25 is the source of this 117-nucleotide non-coding RNA. NCBI's taxonomy places the organism in Bacteria, Bacillati, Bacillota, Negativicutes, Veillonellales, Veillonellaceae. The record is from Rfam.
UUCAGUGGCAAUAGCUACGAGGCGACACCUGUACCCAUGCCGAACACAGUAGUUAAGCUCGUAAACGCCGAAAGUACUUGGCUGGAAACGGCCCGGGAGCAUAGGUAGCUGCUGAUU